This 433-nucleotide ribosomal RNA is filed under the name uncultured bacterium. RNAcentral describes it as "partial 16S ribosomal RNA". It matches the Rfam family "Bacterial small subunit ribosomal RNA", at positions 29 to 507 of the family's 1533-position model. The record is from RNAcentral.
AACGAACGCUGGCGGCAGGCUUAACACAUGCAAGUCGAACGCACCUUUCGGGGUGAGUGGCGGACGGGUGAGUAACGCGUGGGGAUCUACCCUUCUCUACCGUAUCGCUCCGGUAAACUGGAAUUCAUGCCGUAUACGUCCUUAGGGGGUACGAUCUAUCGGGGCAGGAUGGGCCCGCGUUGGAUUGGCUGGUUGGUGGGGUAAUGGCCUACCAAGGCGCGGUACCAUAGCUGGUCUAAGAGGAUGAUACGCCACAUUGGGACUGAGACACGGCCUAAACUCGUACGCGAGGGAGCAGAAGAUUAUACUGGAGGAGGGGGGCAAGCGUGAUACAGCCAUGUGGGGUAAGACAUGAAGGGGGUAGGGUUCUAAAGCUGUCUGAGAGGGGACGAUAAUGACGGUACCGACAGAAGAAGCCCCGGCUAACUACGUG